Molecule: long non-coding RNA, 1880 nt
Organism: Folsomia candida
Lineage: Eukaryota; Metazoa; Arthropoda; Collembola; Entomobryomorpha; Isotomidae
Exons: 4
Source: RefSeq, a predicted model, not a curated record
UAAUGGAUUUUAUUUGGGUUUUAAUGGAUUUUAACUGUGUUUUAGCUUAAAACUAUAUUCUAAAAGUUAAAAACAGCUGUCAUACAUUAGACGAAGCUGUUUGACGGCAGCUAUGCAGUUUAGUUUAUUAAUACUGUAAGUUUUGAAAACCAGGAAUAAAUCAGCAAAAGCAUACCAUCCAUUACCAUCAAAGGUUUCAAGUGAUACAAAAAAUUAAUUUCGGAACGGGGAAUGUUUAACUGAUCAUACAUAAUUUAAUACUUUUUUCCCCAAUACUUCCUCUCAUACACUAUUUCAUUGGUACGAAUAAUUUUUUUAAAAUAUUAUAUUUUUUUUAAUUUGGAAGGUUUUUUAAAUUUAAUGUUUAAAAGCGAUCUGAAUUAUCACCUCUGGAAAAAUCGAGUACUUAUGGACAGCGAAAUACUUUAUUAUGAGCAAAAGAAGUAUAUCUGUAAAAAGCACUUCUUAUAUGCUCGACAUAAUACGUGCUUUCGUUGUUUAUAAAUACUCCAUUUUUUCCAUGCACGUUAAGAUCGCUUUGAAGCAUUAAAUUUUAAAAACUUAAAACAAAUUGGAUUUCAUUAUUAUGAGAGGAAGUAUUCGGGAAAAAGUAAUAAUUAUGGUCGCAAAUAGUAUUAAAUUAUGAUCAGUUAAUAGGACCCUUUCGGAACAGAUAAAUACAUAAACAUGGACAAUGAGGAUUUGCAUAUGAAAGACUGGAAUUGGAUUGCAAUAGGUGUGAAAAUUUUUGUUCAGUGUAUUAAUUAUGGAAAACCUAAUAAAACCCAAUAAAACCCCUGGGUCGUUACUUUUUGAUUAAAACCCUGGGUUUUUCCGAACCCUGAUUAAAAUAAAUAAAAUUUAAUUAUUUUAAAGCAAAUUUAAUUCACGACGUAUGUAUUUCGCAGGAUGUAAAUAAGAAGAUUAAAUAAUUUGUUUAUAUUUCUCGCAGGAAACGUGGCGAGGACAGUUCGAAAUGCCAAAUAUUUUUGUGCUCGACUAUUGGCAUUAUUUUUCCAGCAUGGUAUUGCGGUUUUUGCUAUUUUUUGCCAACGGAUUUGAGGAGUAACCAGUGUCAGGCCAGUACGGUAGGGUAUCCUCAAGUCUGGGACACGUGGGUGUCACUGGUCCAUAAAAAUGCGGGCCUCGUGGUAUCAGUCGCGGUUACUUUAUUCACCGCAUUUUUCUGCGAUUUUGAUUCCGAAAUUGGUGCCGAAAAUGGAGCGCGUCGUUAGUCGUUUCAAUUGAAGCUUAAACUGUUGCUCCUCGUUUAUGGGAUUUCCGCAUGGCUACAAAUCCUCGAGAUUUUACUUUACCUGGUCACCGAUAAGUAUAACGCGAUGGUAAUUUGCAGGAUAUGUAAUUUUAAAAGUGUUCUCCUUUUGUUCCUUCUCGUGAGAGACGAUCGGACAAAAGAUGGGGUUUCAGAAGCGAUAAAACGCUAUGAGGAACGAUUAGUGGAACAGAGAGGCGAAUUCAAGACCAGAAUUUCCUCGAAAGGACCCACUUUCUCGCUGUAUAUGCAGACUAACUGGAAUAUUUUGAAGAUUAUGUUCGCCAUCCUUCUCAAGCUGAUGGGCAGGUGGGGUGCAAAGUGCAAAUAACGAGAAAGGUGUUUCAGACCAGACAACAACAAAUAUAUCUCUGUAAUGCUUUUUUAAGAAACAUUUUUUGAAGAAAAUACAAUAAAGAAAUUACUGUAUGCAAUGAAAUAAUAAAGUAUUUUGCAUCAAAGUAUUUAAUUGAGAAUUAAUUUUCACUGAACACGUGAUUUUCAAGUUUUCGUUUUCAUGAUUUUCUUUUUCACUGAUUGUCAGGAUCAUACAUACAAUUCAUAAUUUAAAAUAUUCAUAUUAUUAAAAUCUGCAUAUUUAUAUUUA